ACGGGUGAGUAACACGUGGGAACGUGCCCUUCGGUUCGGAAUAACUCAGGGAAACUUGAGCUAAUACCGGAUACGCCCUUAUGGGGAAAGGUUUACUGCCGAAGGAUCGGCCCGCGUCUGAUUAGCUUGUUGGUGGGGUAACGGCCUACCAAGGCGACGAUCGGUAGCUGGUCUGAGAGGAUGAUCAGCCACACUGGGACUGAGACACGGCCCAGACUCCUACGGGAGGCAGCAGUGGGGAAUAUUGGACAAUGGGCGCAAGCCUGAUCCAGCCAUGCCGCGUGAGUGAUGAAGGCCUUAGGGUUGUAAAGCUCUUUUGUCCGGGACGAUAAUGACGGUACCGGAAGAAUAAGCCCCGGCUAACUUCGUGCCAGCAGCCGCGGUAAUACGAAGGGGGCUAGCGUUGCUCGGAAUCACUGGGCGUAAAGGGCGCGUAGGCGGCCGAUUAAGUCGGGGGUGAAAGCCUGUGGCUCAACCACAGAAUUGCCUUCGAUACUGGUUGGCUUGAGACCGGAAGAAGACAGCGGAACUGCGAGUGUAGAGGUGAAAUUCGUAGA
Molecule: ribosomal RNA, 557 nt
Filed under: uncultured bacterium
Lineage: Bacteria
Description: bacterial SSU rRNA
Rfam family: Bacterial small subunit ribosomal RNA
Source: RNAcentral